Molecule: ribosomal RNA, 465 nt
Filed under: uncultured bacterium
Lineage: Bacteria
Description: partial 16S ribosomal RNA
Rfam family: Bacterial small subunit ribosomal RNA
Source: RNAcentral
GAUGAACGCUGGCGGCGUGCUUAACACAUGCAAGUCGAACGGAAAGGCUCCUGCUUGCAGGGGUACUCGAGUGGCGAACGGGUGAGUAACACGUCGGUGAUCUGCCCUGCACUUCGGGAUAAGCCUGGGAAACUGGGUCUAAUACCGGAUAGGACGAUGGUUUGGAUGCCAUUGUGGAAAGUUUUUCGGUGUGGGAUGAGCUCGCGGCCUAUCAGCUUGUUGGUGGGGUAAUGGCCUACCAAGGCGUCGACGGGUAGCCGGCCUGAGAGGGUGUACGGCCACAUUGGGACUGAGAUACGGCCCAGACUCCUACGGGAGGCAGCAGUGGGGAAUAUUGCACAAUGGGCGCAAGCCUGAUGCAGCGACGCCGCGUGGGGGAUGACGGCCUUCGGGUUGUAAACUCCUUUCGCUAGGGACGAAGCGCAAGUGACGGUACCUGGAGAAGAAGCACCGGCUAACUACGUG